Molecule: long non-coding RNA, 2531 nt
Filed under: Salmo salar (Atlantic salmon)
Lineage: Eukaryota; Metazoa; Chordata; Actinopteri; Salmoniformes; Salmonidae
Description: lncRNA (ENSSSAG00000088673.1)
Source: RNAcentral
GGUUCUCCUCUCUCUAAUGUUCUCCUCUCUCUAAUGUUCUCCUCUCUGUUCUCCUCUCUCUAAUGUUCUCCUCUCUCUAAUGUUCUCCUCUCUGUUCUCCUCUCUCUAAUGUUCUCCUCUCUGUUCUCCUCUCUGUAAGGUUCUCCUCUCUCUAAUGUUCUCCUCUCUGUUCUCCUCUCUGUAAGGCUCUCCUCUCUGUAAUGUUCUCCUCUCUAUAAUGCUUUCCUCUCGUUAAUGGCCAUACAGCUUGAUCUCCUGUUCAGAAGGUCAACUUGUGAGUAAUGAUCUGUUGCUUCGCUGCUCGUCCAUUUUCCCUUGAUGGCGCUGACCAUAACUCAUCUGUCUCUCUCUCUCUCUCAUGCAACUGCAGCGAUUAUUGGAGGAUUUAUUUUAGUCUGGCCAGCACCGGACACAUGCAGCAGUGUUAUACCUCUCUUUUGGAUGAGGGUGACAUAUGGCUGGUGGACAUGGGAUCCAGAGUGACAGCUUCCUGUUUACAAGCUGCCCAGAGACUUCUGUAGUAGCAGGGGGUGUGUUAGAGAGACACUGCUUGGGCUGUUUUGAAGAGAACAGGGGACCUUGGGUACGACACAAUCUUGUUCCUUUUGGAUCUGGAGCAGAUCGAUAUGUCAGCCAUAACUCCGUUCUACCGCACCCGUGCGUAGAUGGACAAUGGAGGAUCCAUUGUUUUAUAACCCACUUAUCUGGACCAGAGUCCUGGCCUCUACCACCUUUGUGGGCCAGGCUUGUAAGAGUUGAGUUCACUAAGUUGGGUGACCUGCAAGAAGAGGCUUGGUGGAAAUCUGCCAGCAACAUGGUGGAGGUUUUCUCCAUAAAGUCCACCAGGCUGCUGCAGCAGGUGGUGGAAGGGGUCCGUGCUGCACCACCGAGAGCUGCUGCGGAGUAGGCGGUCCGAGGAGCCACCACGCCGGACACCGAGUGACCGACCACUUACCUGAGAGGCCUAUCAGUUGUAUUUGUCCCAUACCCGAUCCCCCAACGUUCAUGAAAGAACAACUUUUGUUUGAGCACCAGAAAUCGGUCUCCCACUGUCUUAUUUUAUUAUAGAAUCACCAAACCACACAGUGGAGGGUCCAAUUAUCAAGCGUACAACAAUAUCAGUGGAAAUAUUGACUCAGGGAAGCAAAAACAGUCUGGACUCUUGUUCCGUAAUGGAAAUAGCGACAUACAGGAGCAGUUGGGUUUAAGUGCCAUGCUCAAGGGUACAGACAGAUUUUCCACCUACUCGGCUAAGGGAUUUGAACCAGUGACCACUCUAGUUAUGAGCCCAAUGCUCUUAACCACUAGUCUGCAAGGUCUUGUCUCAUUGCUGCAACUCCCCAACGGGCUCGGGAGAGGUGAACGUCGAGUCUUGUGUCCCCCGAAACAUGACCUGCCUAACCGCACUUCUUAACACGUGCCCGCUUAAACUACACCAAUGUGUGAGAGGAAACACUGUGCAACUGACGAACAUAGUCAGCCUGCAGAAACCCAGCCUGCCACAAGGAGACGCAAGAGUGCGAUGAGCCAAGUAAAAACCUCCCUGGCUAAACAUUCCCCUAACCCAGACGACGCUUGCUCAAUUGUGCAUCGCCCUGUGGGACUCCCGGUCAAGGCCGGUUGUGACAUUGGCUGGGAUUGAACACAGAACAGUGAAAACUGGCUCUAACCAGAAUAGAAAGAGGAGUGGGAGACCCCAGUAAACAACUGAGCAAGAGAACAAGUACAUUAGAGUGUCUAGUUUGAAAAACAGACACCUCACAAGUCCUCAACUGGCAGCUUCAUUAAAUAAUACCCGCAAAACACCAGUCUCAUCGUCAACAGUGAAGAGGCCAGCAUCCUGGAAUACGAUAGAUACUCAAAGGCGUCGACUGCAUUCCUAAGGUGGAGACGAGGUUGGAAAUAGUGUGUGGGGUUGUUGCAUUUUACAGUUAUUACAUUUUACUGUUGUUAUUACAUUUUACUGUUGUUAUUACAUUUUACUGUUGUUAUUACAUUUUACUGUUGUUAUUGCAUUUUACUGUUGUUAAUACAUUUUACUGUUGUUAAUACAUUUUACUGUUGUUAAUACAUUUUACUGUUGUUAUUACAUUUUACUGUUGUUAUUGCAUUUUACUGUUGUUAAUACAUUUUACUGUUGUUAUUACAUUUUACUGUUGCUAUUGCAUUUUACUGUUGUUAAUACAUUUUACUGUUGUUAUUGCAUUUUACUGUUGUUAUUACAAUGUAUAUGGCCCUAAUGGCACCCUAUUCCCUAUAUAGUACACUGGCCCUGGUCAAAAUUUGUGCACUACAUAUAGGGAAUAGGGUGCCAUAGGGCUCUGGUCAAAAGUAGUGCACUAUAUAGGGAAUAGGGUGCCAUAGGGACCCCUGGUUCCAAUCCAUGCAACAGAUGGGAGGAAUAUGACAAUUUAAUGUGGAAUUGGCAUGAUCAACUCAAUAGUCGGUAGUAAUAUAAAUUAUUCAGUUACAGGGUUCAAAAGGUGAAAAGGAAGAACUGUACUCACUGAAAUAAAAUACAUUUUCAUGAA